CUUAUCAAGAGUGGCUUAGGGACGGGCCCGUUGACGCCACAGCAACCUGCGUUUUGCAAGGUGCUAAUUCCCGCGGAUCUUCCGAGUGAUGAG
This 93-nucleotide non-coding RNA is filed under the name Candidatus Eubacterium faecavium. RNAcentral's name for it is "SAM riboswitch (S box leader)". It matches the Rfam family "SAM riboswitch aptamer (S box leader)". From Rfam's summary of the family: The SAM riboswitch is found upstream of a number of genes which code for proteins involved in methionine or cysteine biosynthesis in Gram-positive bacteria. The SAM riboswitch acts at the level of transcription termination control. RNAcentral also lists the same sequence under 1 other name. The record is from RNAcentral. Lineage: Bacteria; Bacillati; Bacillota; Clostridia; Eubacteriales; Eubacteriaceae.